CCUACGGGUGGCUGCAGUGAGGAAUAUUGGUCAAUGGACGAAAGUCUGAACCAGCCAAGUAGCGUGAAGGAUGACUGCCCUAUGGGUUGUAAACUUCUUUUAUAUGGGAAUAAAGUGUUCCACGUGUGGGAUUUUGUAUGUACCCUAUGAAUAAGGAUCGGCUAACUCCGUGCCAGCAGCCGCGGUAAUACGGAGGGUCCGGGCGUUAUCCGGAUUUAUUGGGUUUAAAGGGAGCGUAGGUGGGUUGUUAAGUCAGUCGUGAAAGUUUGCGGCUCAACCGUGAGAGUGCAGUUGAAACUGGCAGUCUUGAGUACAGGAGAGGCAGGCGGAAUUCGUGGUGUAGCGGUGAAAUGCUUAGAUAUCACGAAGAACUCCGAUUGCGAAGGCAG
Molecule: ribosomal RNA, 389 nt
Filed under: uncultured bacterium
Lineage: Bacteria
Description: partial 16S ribosomal RNA
Rfam family: Bacterial small subunit ribosomal RNA
Source: RNAcentral